UUAAGUUCAGCGGGUAGUCCUACCUGAUCCGAGGUCAACGUUCAGAGUUGGGGGUUUCACGGCGGGGCCGCGUCGGGUUUCCGGUGCGAGCUGUAGUACUUCGCAGAGGUCGCCGCGGACGGGCCGCCACUCCAUUUCAGGGCCGGCGGGGUGCUGCCGGUCCCCAAGGCCGACGUCCCGGGGGACGUCGAGGGUUGAAA
Molecule: unclassified non-coding RNA, 200 nt
Filed under: Isaria sp.
Lineage: Eukaryota; Fungi; Ascomycota; Sordariomycetes; Hypocreales; Cordycipitaceae
Description: partial internal transcribed spacer 2
Source: RNAcentral